UACCAGACUCCUACGGGAGGCAGCAGUGGGGAAUAUUGCACAAUGGGGGAAACCCUGAUGCAGCGACGCCGCGUGAGCGAAGAAGUACCUCGGUAUGUAAAGCUCUAUCAGCAGGGAAGAAAGUGACAGUACCUGACUAAGAAGCCCCGGCUAACUACGUGCCAGCAGCCGCGGUAAUACGUAGGGGGCAAGCGUUAUCCGGAUUCACUGGGCGUAAAGGGAGCGCAGGCGGCACGGCAAGUCUGAUGUGAAAGCCCGGGGCUCAACCCCGGGACUGCAUUGGAAACUGCCGGGCUGGAGUGUCGGAGGGGUAAGCGGAAUUCCUAGUGUAGCGGUGAAAUGCGUAGAUAUCAGGAGGAACACCGGCGGCGAAGGCGGCCUGCUGGACCGCGACUGACGUUGAGGCUCGAAAGCGUGGGGAGCGAACAGGAUUAGAUACCCUAGUAACG
Molecule: ribosomal RNA, 449 nt
Filed under: uncultured bacterium
Lineage: Bacteria
Description: bacterial SSU rRNA
Rfam family: Bacterial small subunit ribosomal RNA
Source: RNAcentral